This is a long non-coding RNA of Helianthus annuus (common sunflower), 1910 nucleotides long. RefSeq lists it as uncharacterized. The transcript is spliced from 8 exons. Lineage: Eukaryota; Viridiplantae; Streptophyta; Magnoliopsida; Asterales; Asteraceae. The record is from RefSeq and is a predicted model, not a curated record.
GGUAGUCAUAGGAGGAUGAACCACCUGUGAUCAAAACGAUCUUCAUCCGUCGCUCUUCUUCUUUCAUGUGUAACGAAGCUUCCGUAAGAAGAAACAUGGAGAAAUCUAAUAAACUUUUUGUGCAAGUUCGAAGGCCGCUGCCACUCGGUUUCUGUUCUGGUAAUAAAGUCGUAUCUGAGUUUUAUGAGAUGCUCAAUAAUUUGUUCAGGGUUUUUAUUAUGGAUUCCCCACCGAUUGUCGUCACAAGUGAAGGCUUUUUUUUUUUUUUUACCACGGAUUCUCCUUCGAUUGAUUAUCUUGAAUAUUUGAGUAUUCUGUUAUAUCCAUGGCCUAUGAGUUCAGGGGGCUACCCUCUUGAUUACCAGCACUCAUGGUACGGUGAAUAGCCGUAGACUAUGCUUUCACACAAAUAAAUUCCACUGUAAGAAUUAGAAACUUUUUGUGAAAUCUGUUGCUAUUUUUGUUAUUUUUAUUCAUUUAUGUUAUAUUAAGAAUCAGGACCGUUGAGUUCGAUGAAUUCAGGUCCGUAUGGAACGUUCAUCGGCGUCUAUGACGGACAUGGUGGACCGGAGACAUCAAGAUUCGUUAAUGAGAAUCUGUUCGCUAAUCUCAAGAGAUUUGUGUCUGAGGAUCAAGAAAUGUCUGCGAAUGUUAUCAAGAAAGCGUUUUUAGCGACGGAGGAUGAGUUUCUUUCGGUUGUAAGAGAACAAUGGCGGAUAUGCCUGCAAAUAGCAUCUGUGGGAACGUGUUGUUUGGUGGGUGUUAUUUGUAACGGGUUGAUUUACGUUGCGAAUGCUGGAGAUUCGAGAGUGGUGUUAGGGAGAGCUGAUCGAGAAUGCAGGCGGUGAACGGUUAAAAAGCCAGAAGUCGAAGGACAUUGAUAAAAAACAGCACAGAGAUCAAUCGACACAAAGUUCAAAUAGAAACGGGUCAGAAAGACAGAAAAUGUUGAAAAAACUAACGAAUGGGAUUGAGGAAUCAUAGAAGGAGAAAGAUAAACUAAUUGCACAGAAGGAACAUUUGCUUGAAGCGUUUAAAGAGAUAGAGCAGAAAGCGUUCAAGGUUUAGGAUGAUUAUAAGAAGACAGAAGAGCUGAUAGAACAACACAAGGCUGUGCUUGGAGAAGCAAAAUCCAAUUAUGAAACUUGAAGAUGACGGUAGAUUAGUUACGGACAUCUAAGGUGGGUGUAGACCUCAAUCAGGUUAUAAAAGGGUUCUUGGGUCAGGCUCCAGGAUAUUGUUUUGGGGUGAGUGCCGAAUUGGGUCUGACCCGUUCCACGUCGCCUAUCCAGGUUUGUAUGCGACUGGGAAAAAUAGGCGUUUUGUGGCCGAUAGGAUCAAGGUUGUUGCAAUUGUGGUCCACUGUAAGUGGAAGUGUAAUAGGGCCCCGGUGCCAGCCGCUGACAUGUCGGAGUUACAGCAUAUUGCCCACUGUCUUGGGGUUGCAUUGGUAAGUUGUGGGGUCUGCACGGAAAUGGGGUAACAUGUGAAGCAUUUGGAUUAAAAUGUUUAUGGGGUCUGGACGCACCAUGGAGGCUGCACAUUAAUACAUUGUUGCUUUUACUUUUGCAGUUUGAUUAGAGGCUUUCAAGGUGAUUGGACAAUCUUGCAAGUAUUUAAAUAUAUGAGAAAUAUAUGUUGAAGGAGCUCAGGAUGCCGGCUUAGGGUUACAAAAGAUUGCUGUCGAGAGCAUGAGUGAACCUUCAUGUUGAUGGAUCCGCACAUCGGUGUCGUCAUGAUAUGCUUCCUCUCUGCGUCAAAAUCCAUUUUCUCAAUAUGAAUUCCAGCGGUCAGGCCAGCUCCUAGGUAUGUUCGCCCAAGGAUGGUUUGUACUUGUGUUUUAUAUUCAGGGGUUGUAUCUAAGAAGCGUUUUCUAUGAGAAUUGAAUACUUGGAGCAUACAAAAAAAAA